This 30-nucleotide non-coding RNA is filed under the name Mus musculus (house mouse). The record is from RNAcentral. Lineage: Eukaryota; Metazoa; Chordata; Mammalia; Rodentia; Muridae.
UGACAGUCAUAAGAACUGGAUGGUAGAUUA